AGUCGAACGAAGUAGCAAUACUUAGUGGCAGACGGGUGAGUAACAUGUGGGUAUCUACCCUUUGGCCUGGAAUAACACGAGGAAACUUGUGCUAAUACCAGAUAAGUCUUUACGGAGAAAGCUUUAUGCACCAUUGGAUGAGCCCGCACUUGAUUAGUUUGUUGGUGGGGUAAUGGCCUACCAAGACUUUGAUCAAUAGCUGAUUUGAGAGGAUGAUCAGCCACAUUGGGACUGAGACACGGCCCAAACUCCUACGGGAGGCAGCAGUGGGGAAUCUUGCACAAUGGAGGAAACUCUGAUGCAGCGAUGCCGCGUGAGUGAAGAAGGCCUUUGGGUUGUAAAGCUCUUUCGUCGGGGAAGAAAAUGACCGUACCCGAAUAAGAAGGUCCGGCUAACUUCGUGCCAGCAGCCGCGGUAAUACGAAGGGACCUAGCGUAGUUCGGAAUUACUGGGCUUAAAGAGUUCGUAGGUGGUUGAAAAAGUUGGUGGUGAAAUCCCAGAGCUUAACUCUGGAACUGCCAUCAAAACUUUUCAGCUAGAGUUUGAUAGAGGAAAGCAGAAUUUCUAGUGUAGAGGUGAAAUUCGUAGAUAUUAGAAAGAAUACCAAUUGCGAAGGCAGCUUUCUGGAUCAUUACUGACACUGAGGAACGAAAGCAUGGGUAGCGAAGAGGAUUAGAUACCCUCGUAGUCCAUGCCGUAAACGAUGUGUGUUAGACGUUGGAAAUUUAUUUUCAGUGUCGCAGCGAAAGCGAUAAACACACCGCCUGGGGAGUACGANCGCAAGGUUAAAACUCAAAUGAAUUGACNGGGACCCGCACAAGUAG
This 824-nucleotide ribosomal RNA is filed under the name uncultured bacterium. RNAcentral describes it as "bacterial SSU rRNA". It matches the Rfam family "Bacterial small subunit ribosomal RNA", at positions 60 to 932 of the family's 1533-position model. The record is from RNAcentral.